GGGGUCGACUGGUUUUGACAGCAAGAUGAAGUGGACAGUAAGCACGUCGAGCAUUGUACUUUUAGCUCGUAAAUCCAAAGGUACGAACUUAUAAACGGCGAAAAUAAUUACGCUUUAGCUGCUUAAUCCGAAGUUUAGUACGAUUUGCCUAGUUCCAACAAGGUUGGAAAGCUAGAUUUACCUCAAAAGCCUUGGUUUGUGGCGUUUGAUUAAGGUAAACCGGAAAAAUAAACCUAGAAAUGGUAAUGCUUUAAAUCCAUUUUGACACUGAUAAAGCUAAGUAGUUUGUGGUUGUUUCUGACCUAGCAAAUUAUCGAAAAUUUAAUCAGGAACUAAGCGUGUAGAAAGCUCUUUAUUUCCUUGUUUGGACGGGAGUUCGACUCUCCCCGACUCCACAA
This 398-nucleotide transfer-messenger RNA is filed under the name Flavobacterium solisilvae. RNAcentral describes it as "Standard tmRNA". It matches the Rfam family "transfer-messenger RNA". Rfam says of the family: Bacterial tmRNA, also known as 10Sa RNA or SsrA, is named for its dual tRNA and mRNA-like properties. Its role is to liberate the mRNA from a stalled ribosome. The record is from RNAcentral. Lineage: Bacteria; Pseudomonadati; Bacteroidota; Flavobacteriia; Flavobacteriales; Flavobacteriaceae.